UGCUUUUCUUUAUAUGUAUUUACAGGCCCACAUAAUUUGUUGAAUAAGCGUUAGUCGCAAAUUAAUAAUUGGUAAGAGACGACGGACGUUCGUGUAGGUGGCUUUAAUUUGUUUUGCUCUGGUUUCUCAUUUUGUUGGUGUUUUUUUGUUGUUUAUGCAAUUGUGAUGGAACGUAAAAUGAAUAUUCCAUCAACAUCCAGUAUGCGAUCGCGAAACAUUAUGGCGCUGUCUUUGAAAACUUCAAGCCCAAAUAUUGUCCACACCAACACCACUGAUGACAGUGAUAACAGCUUUAAUGAGUUCUUGACAUCGGAUGUACUGAAUGUGAGUGUACAAGACAUUAAUUUAUCUGUUUUUGAAAGAUCAGACUUAAACGAAAAUAUCGAAAACGCCGAUCCCAAUAUUAUAAGUAAUAAAGACAAUGUUAGAACCCCAGAGGAAAAUGUCGAGAAUAAUAUCGAUUUAUCUGAAAGUGAGGUAUCGUCAGAAGAAGAUUACUUUGCUGUGGUUGCUGGUAUGAGAAAAAGAAAAAGAUAUGUUCAUUCCAAAGAAGAACGUAACAAGAUUAGAAAAGCGAAAAAAAUUCAAUCUUUACGUUGUACGGCCACCUUGCAAUUGCCAAAACAAGUGUAAGGAAAAAAUUAUAAGCGAAAGAAGAUUGGAAAUAAAUAAAAAAUUUUGGGCUUUAAAUUAUGAGUCAAGAAAAACAUUUAUAUCAAAUAUGUGCGAAGAAAGUUUAGUUAAAAUACGUAAAACAAAAAACCACAGUACCUUUAAAAGAAAUAAAACCAUUUAUUACUUUUUAAAGACAUCAAAUAAUGAACGAGUUAAAGUAUGUAAAGAAUUUUUUGCUGGUACACUUGGCUAUAAAAAAAAUAAUGGUUCUCUAUUAAAAAAUAUAACACCUCCAAAAGACAAAAGGGGAAAACAUAAUAACCAAUUAAAAAAAGUAAAUACAGAGAAUAUAAAUUUACAUGUAAUGUCAUUUUGCCCUACAAUAUUGCAUUAUCGAAGAGAGCAUGCCCCCAAAAAGCUAUAUUUGCCUAGUGAUUUGACAAUAACAGGUAUGCAUACAAACUUUUUACAAACUUAUGGUCAUUCGUCCUGCAGCUAUGAAUCUUACCGUAAAGUAGUUGUGAAUGACCUUAAUAUAGCAUUCACAAAACUAGGGCAUGAAGAAGUGAGUGUGAGAAGCUCACAAACUUCAUGAAGUCUCUCAUUCGGAAAAUGAGACCGAUGAAUGUGGUGAAUGUUCUAACCAUAAAAUCCAUUUAAAAAGGGCUAAUGAUGCUCGACAAAAAUACAGGGCCGGCGAAAAACUUAAUUCAUCUAAUGACUUACAUGUAAGUGUGGACUUACAAAAAGUUAUUAUGUUGCCUCGUUUGGAGGCGUUUAAAGAGGUUAUAUUCACUCCCCGAAUAAUUGCAUUCAAUGAAAGUUUCGUUCCUUUGGGGAAAUUUAACAAAAAAAGACCGCCAUUUGCUGCAAUUUGGCAUGAGGGAGUGACUGGAAGAAAAAAAGAAGAUAUCACUAGCACAUACCACAAUUUUUUAACCACUUAUGCGAGGGACUAUGAAAAUAUAGUGUUUUGGGCGGACAACUGCACCGCACAAAACAAAAACUAUUGCUUGUUCAGCUUUUUAAUUUACAUUAUAAACUCAAAUGAAAUAUGUGCAAAUACUAUAACAUUUUGUUAUUUUGAACCUGGACACACGUUUAUGGCAGCUGAUUCCUUUCAUCACCUUGUGGAAAAGCAGCUUCGAAAGCAAGGUAGAGUUUAUGAUUUUCAAGAUUUUUGCGAUGUAGUUCAAAACUGCAGUUCUGUUAAACCAAUCGUAAAAGAGAUGAAGAAAGACGAUUUCUGUCACUGGCCAUCGCUAAGCUCUACUUACCAAAUUAAGUCCAAGUCGGUAUCGAUACGAGAUUUUAAAGAAAUAUCAGUUAAACGUGGAUCAAAAAGCUUAUAUUUUAAAAAAGAAAUAAAUGGGACAGAAGACAUUUUUGAGUUUUUACCAAAAAAAUUUUUAAAAGGAAAUUCUCAACUAAAAAAACCAGAACCUUUGGAUCAAAAUAAAGGCAUAUCUGUUGAUAGAAAAAAUACUAUUAAUAAUAAAUUACUUAAAUUAAUGCCAGAACAUAAACAAAAUUUUUGGAAGGUACUGCCAGUUAACCAAAAUAAUCAAAAUAUUCCUGUUGAUAAUGACGAAAAUGAUGAAUAAAAGCUGUUCCAAAUAAAACCCAAAUUUUAACAUUUAAUUAGACUCUAAGGCAUUUUAAUUUAAAAUUAAGUUAAGCAAAUAUUUUAAGAGAAUAAAUCUUAUGUUUUUAAGUAAUAAAUUUACUGUACUAAUCUCUAUAUGUAUUUUUCCUUAUAAAUUAGUAAAAAAAUAUACUUUUUUUAUUAUUUAGGCUUCUUUCAAAUCAUACAAUGCAAUUAAAAUCAAAUAGAGCUUAAGCCUAUUUUACUAUGUACGUUGUAAUCUGUAUGGGUUUAUAAUACUUACCAAGAAAAGCAUAUGUACCGAUUAGGCGAUAUAUGCUUUUCUUUCUAGGGAUGUUGGCAUAAAAUAAAAAUUAGAUACCCUUAUG
This 2589-nucleotide long non-coding RNA is filed under the name Anthonomus grandis grandis. RNAcentral's name for it is "uncharacterized LOC126740764". The record is from RNAcentral. Lineage: Eukaryota; Metazoa; Arthropoda; Insecta; Coleoptera; Curculionidae.